UAGGGAAUCUUCGGCAAUGGACGAAAGUCUGACCGAGCAACGCCGCGUGAGUGAAGAAGGUUUUCGGAUCGUAAAACUCUGUUGUUAGAGAAGAACAAGGACGUUAGUAACUGAACGUCCCCUGACGGUAUCUAACCAGAAAGCCACGGCUAACUACGUGCCAGCAGCCGCGGUAAUACGUAGGUGGCAAGCGUUGUCCGGAUUUAUUGGGCGUAACGCGAGCGCAGGCGGUUUCUUAAGUCUGAUGUGAAAGCCCCCGGCUCAACCGGGGAGGGUCAUUGGCUACUGGGAGACUUGAGUGCAGCAGAGGAGAGUGGAAUUCCAUGUGUAGCGGUGAAAUGCGUAGAUAUAUGGAGGAACACCAGUGGCGAAGGCGUCUCUCUGUUCUGUAACUGACGCUGAGGCUCGAAAGCGUGUGGAGCAAACAGG
This 429-nucleotide ribosomal RNA is filed under the name Gemmatimonadota bacterium. RNAcentral's name for it is "Gemmatimonadetes bacterium partial 16S ribosomal RNA". It matches the Rfam family "Bacterial small subunit ribosomal RNA", at positions 355 to 776 of the family's 1533-position model. The record is from RNAcentral. Lineage: Bacteria; Pseudomonadati; Gemmatimonadota.